Molecule: ribosomal RNA, 433 nt
Filed under: uncultured bacterium
Lineage: Bacteria
Description: partial 16S ribosomal RNA
Rfam family: Bacterial small subunit ribosomal RNA
Source: RNAcentral
AACGAACGCUGGCGGCAUGCCUAACACAUGCAAGUCGAACGAGACCUUCGGGUCUAGUUGCGCACGGGUGCGUAACGCGUGGGAACCUUCCCUUAGGUUCGGAAUAACUCCCCGAAAGGGGUGCUAAUACCGGAUAAUUUCUUCGGAUCAAAGAUUUAUCGUCUUUGGAUGAGCCCGCGUUGUAUUAGCUAGUUGGUAGGGUAAAAGCCUACCAAGGCGACGAUCCAUAGCUGGUCUGAGAGGAUGAUCAGCCACACUGGGACUGAGACACGGCCCAGACUCCUACGGGAGGCAGCAGUGGGGAAUAUUGGACAAUCGGCGAAAGCCUGAUCCAGCAAUGCCGCGUGAGUGAUGAAGGCCUUAGGGUUGUAAAGCUCUUUUACCCGGGAUGAUAAUGACAGUACCGGGAGAAUAAGCUCCGGCUAACUCCGUG